GAAACAGGUUCCACAAGGUUCGUCAGAACUGUAUUUUGAUACACAACUGCAUUCGUUUUUACAACUUUCUCACAAAAAUGUACCUCUGCUAAGCCCCAAUAAGAAACUCCCAACCAUACCAUGAGCGAGGAUGGAAAAUGACCUCGUUGGACACGCGGAAUACGGUUGCUCGCUUCUUCAUCCGCUUCUCCAUAUUUAAAAAUGAGUAAAAUUCUAAAAGUAUACAUUUUUAUUUUCAUGAACAAUUCGAAAUUCGAAUUCAAUAACUUUUUGGUGGCCAGCAUUCUAAAAGAAAAGUUUUUACUGUUUGACAAUACUUAUGACCUGGCUAGUUAUAAUAGUUAGACAUAUGCUGUCCUGACUUUUUGUAAAUAAUAAUGUGUUCUACAAAGUCGUAGUACAUUAUUUUAUUCUAUCAUCAAUCGUUUUUUAGGGGACUGAAUCUUCUCACGAGAACACCUCCCUCAGCGCAGGGUAUGUGCGACUACCGUAGCCACGCAAUAUACGAUUCUCCUGGACUCUGGCUCGUACUUCCGAUACCCGGGUUAAUAUGGAGAGAUUCCCAGGUGCAAGGCGAUCAGCACUGCAACCAUAAGCACGUCCACCCUAGCACGACUCGUCAUUAAACAAGGCAAUAAGUCGGCCAUCGCUCUGAAGCCCAGGCGAUGGAUACCAGCAUGCUGAAUCGGAAUAUGAUACACCAUCAACCGAUCGCUCUUCGUCGAUAUCAACAUGGCGGCGCGCAUAACUUGGGCCCUUCAUAUCGCUCCGAACCGUCACCAGGGAGGGAACCUACUGCAGUUGCAUUGUGAGAAUGAGACUGGCACUUUUUUGUUUGCAAAGAAAAAAAUAACACUUCAGUCAUAGGAAAAAGCAAAUCCUAAAAAUAUGUUCUCUCUGAUAUCAAUAGUGUACUUACAUAUUCUUCCAACACUUUUUUCUUUUCGAAAAAGACCUUUAGGAUCCUCGACCUUUAAAAUGUUUAAAGUUUCUAAGCUAUUUAUUAUGACUAAGAAUGAUGUCAAGAAACAUGUUAUUUUAUUUGAAUUGUUUACCGUUGUAUGGUAAUAGAUGAGCAAGUGACUCAAAUGGAUGAUCAGAAUCACUGCACUGUUAACACUUCAAUGUUGAUUAUGUGUAUAUGAUAUUGCUAUUAAGAGAGAAACUUUUUAGUAAUCCUUGGAUUCACCGUGCAUAUGAGGUUCAUAAUGUUGCAGAAAGAGGAAUUUAUAUGAAGAAUGCCAGCAAACCUGUCACCCUAGUGUAAGUUUAACAGGCCCCUAUCUUAUCCUUAUCUCCAUUUUCUACAUUCCUUUCUAUACCUAGCCCAAUUUAAUGAGAACCUACUAGUGCAAUAAAAUUUUACAUUUAUUAGUUCACUUGUAGAUGUACAUUCUUGACAAGACAAGGUUUUUAAUAUAAUAUAGAGAUAUUUCAGUGUAGUAUAGUACUUACAUACAUCAAUUUAUUAAAUGUACUACCAGGAAAACCAAAUCCAUUAAAUGUUAAAUUACAGAAACAA
Molecule: long non-coding RNA, 1522 nt
Organism: Bombyx mori (domestic silkworm)
Lineage: Eukaryota; Metazoa; Arthropoda; Insecta; Lepidoptera; Bombycidae
Exons: 2
Source: RefSeq, a predicted model, not a curated record